Molecule: unclassified non-coding RNA, 256 nt
Filed under: uncultured fungus
Lineage: Eukaryota; Fungi
Description: sequence contains ITS1, 5.8S rRNA gene
Rfam family: 5.8S ribosomal RNA (bases 208-256)
Source: RNAcentral
UCUCCGUUGGUGAACCAGCGGAGGGAUCAUUGCUGGAACGCGCCCCAGGCGCACCCAGAAACCCUUUGUGAACUUAUACCUUACUGUUGCCUCGGCGCAUGCCGGCCCCCCCGGGGGCCCCUCGGAGACGAGGAGCAGGCACGCCGGCGGCCAAGUUAACUCUUGUUUUUACACUGAAACUCUGAGAAAAAAACACAAAUGAAUCAAAACUUUCAACAACGGAUCUCUUGGUUCUGGCAUCGAUGAAGAACGCAGC